GGACUACUGGGGUUUCUAAUCCUGUUUGCUACCCAUGCUUUCGCUCCUCAGCGUCAAUACCAGCCCAGAGUGCUGCCUUCGCCAUAGGUGUUCCUCCUGAUAUCUGCGCAUUUCACCGCUACACCAGGAAUUCCACACUCCCCUACUGGAUUCAAGUCAGCGCAGUAUCGGAUGGCGUCUCGGGGUUGAGCCCCGAGCUUUCACAUCCGACUUACGCAACCGCCUACGAGCUCUUUACGCCCAAUAAUUCCGGACAACGCUCGGUCCCUACGUCUUACCGCGGCUGCUGGCACGUAGUUGGCCGGACCUUCUUCUGUGGGUACCGUCAGUUUCGUCCCCACUGAAAGGGGUUUACGACCCUAGGGCCUUCAUCCCCCACGCGGCGUCGCUGCAUCAGACU
Molecule: unclassified non-coding RNA, 400 nt
Filed under: uncultured fungus
Lineage: Eukaryota; Fungi
Description: sequence contains ITS1
Source: RNAcentral